Molecule: ribosomal RNA, 730 nt
Filed under: uncultured bacterium
Lineage: Bacteria
Description: SSU rRNA
Rfam family: Bacterial small subunit ribosomal RNA
Source: RNAcentral
AUUCCCGGUGUAGCGGUGAAAUGCGUAGAUAUCGGGAAGAACACCAGUGGCGAAGGCGCUCUGCUGGGCCAUCACUGACGCUCAUGGACGAAAGCCAGGGGAGCGAAAGGGAUUAGAUACCCCUGUAGUCCUGGCCGUAAACGAUGAACACUAGGUGUCGGGGGAAUCGACCCCCUCGGUGUCGUAGCCAACGCGUUAAGUGUUCCGCCUGGGGAGUACGCACGCAAGUGUGAAACUCAAAGGAAUUGACGGGGGCCCGCACAAGCGGUGGAGUAUGUGGUUUAAUUCGAUGCAACGCGAAGAACCUUACCAGGGUUUGACAUCCUGCGAAUCUCUUGGAAACGAGAGAGUGCCUUCGGGAGCGCAGUGACAGGUGGUGCAUGGCUGUCGUCAGCUCGUGUCGUGAGAUGUUGGGUUAAGUCCCGCAACGAGCGCAACCCACGUCUUUAGUUGCCAGCAUUUAGUUGGGCACUCUAGAGAGACCGCCGGUGAUAAACCGGAGGAAGGUGUGGAUGACGUCAAGUCAUCAUGCCCCUUACAUCCUGGGCUACACACGUACUACAAUGCUACGGACAAAGGGCAGCAAGUUCGCGAGGACAAGCAAAUCCCAUAAACCGUGGCUCAGUUCAGAUCGUAGGCUGCAACUCGCCUACGUGAAGGAGGAAUCGCUAGUAAUCGCAGGUCAGCAUACUGCGGUGAAUACGUUCCCGGGUUUUGCACACACCGCCCG